AAAUCCAAAAAAUACAUAGAAGAGACAAGGUUCUUAUUGUAAUCAGAAAGUCUAUUCAUAUAUCUUAACGACCUCAUGUACAUAAUAUCACAAUUCUGAAACAAGAUCAUUUUCAUUAAGAAGCUCUAUAGUACUAUCAAAUCACACACACACACACACACACACACGUACACCUGGACUCAGCGCCGCCCUCUGCGCACUAUAGGUAGGUCCUCAUGGGUCACCGAGCGCCGGAUGAGACUACCAUGCAAGUUGACCCUGGUAAUUACCGGGAUAUGUAUUGCUAAACUUCCCUCUUUUUUUUAUUUAUUUAUUUUUUUACGUCUCCGUCUAUUGAACCGGUAGGCUUGCUUUGAGGGGCCUGGAUGGUGUUCGGCCCCACCCCGUCAUGGCGCAGACAAGUGUUUAUAGUAUCGCCAUCUUCUCUUAUGCCUUCUAUAUCCCUCUCUCUGGGCUUUCAUAUCCAGUUUCCUUUCUGGUCGAUCAAUCUGUGCUGUGGUAGACGGUCACUGUUCUUCCAUUAAGGCCUAAACUUUGUUCUAUCCCUAACUGAAGGUAAAUCAUCUAUAACAUACCUGUUGGGCGCAGUUUGGAGGUGGAGUGGGCACAGCUGAUGAGACACAAUGAACACAACACAAAACAUCAGUAUUUACAUUCUAACUCAUUUUUCUGUUCACUGACCUCAACAUGUGUUUUUAUUUCUGUACAAUGGCGAUUCUUAUUUUUCGUAACGAGCCUAGUCACGGGUUUGUCUGCAAGACCCUCUAUGGUAUUUUACGAUGAUAAAUAUUUCAAUUCAAUUUCAACACUGGUACGGUCUCCUGCACUCCGCUUCAGCCUGGUGACGUCACGAGCUAAUGGCGGCUUAUCCCCGUGAGAUAGGAAGAAUUUGCGAUAUCUCUCCAAUAUCCAGUCAACUAGCGAUUUAUAGGACGUAAGAUGUGCGCUACGUUAUCAUUGGUACAGUUGCGGAGAUGUGUUCCUGUACCCUCUGUGACAAGGCUUCCCUCCAACCCUCCCAGUCGUACUACCCAAGUGCUGUGAGUGAAUGGUGGUCGUUGUGUUCGGCGGAGAGGUUCACUGCUAUUCAGGACCCGGAUUCAUCAACCCAGUACAAGACCGGUCGUUGGUAAGUCUUUUGGUAAAUCCGUCCUCUGUAAAUGAUCCUUGUCUUCAGGCCGCUCCGAUAACAAUGAAGUAUGGCCUGGUCGAUAGUUCUUUCAUCGCCAUUGGGGUCGCCUUAAGAUCAAGAGCGUUCCUAGACGAUGGAGUUAGCACAAGACGUAAGGUACUGGCCUGGUCGACAGUUCCUUCAUCGUCAUUGGGGUCGCCUUAAGAUCAAGAGCGUUCCUAGAUGAUGGAGUUAGCACAAGACGUAAGGUACUGGCCUGGUCGACACUUCCUUCAUCGUCAUUGGGGUCGCCUUAAGAUCAAGAGCGUUCCUAGAUGAUGGAGUUACCACAAGACUCAAGGUACUGGCCUGGUCGACAGUUCCUUCAUUGCCAUUGGGGUCGCCUUAAGAUCAAGAGCGUUCCUAGAUGAUGGAGUUACCACAAGACUCAAGGUACUGGCCU
This is a long non-coding RNA of Eriocheir sinensis (Chinese mitten crab), 1574 nucleotides long. RefSeq lists it as uncharacterized. The transcript has 3 exons. The record is from RefSeq and is a predicted model, not a curated record. Lineage: Eukaryota; Metazoa; Arthropoda; Malacostraca; Decapoda; Varunidae.